AUUACCUCUUAAUUAAUCACUAAUGACAGUAAUUAAGCAUUAAGGCCAAACAAUAAUUAAAUGCCAAAGGUCAUUAGGGUUAAUGACCUCAGGUCAUCACACAAUCCCAAAGUCACUCAAACCCUAAUCAUGAGGAUUUAACUAAUCAUUGUUUAAUUAUUUUGGAAUUAUCAUUUACUUACUAAAUAAGGGUUUAAUAAUAUUUCAUUCAAACAUUAUCCAAAUGCCACU
This 231-nucleotide long non-coding RNA is filed under the name Sorghum bicolor (sorghum). RNAcentral describes it as "long non-coding RNA (SBIC_LNC002694)". The record is from RNAcentral. Lineage: Eukaryota; Viridiplantae; Streptophyta; Magnoliopsida; Poales; Poaceae.